AGGGUAAAGCGUUCCUGCUGCUAUCCUUUUCCUGUUGCAGAAGCCAUUAAAUAUCUUUCUCUUCUGGGUCUCAAGAGCACCUGCGUUAUUAUCAAGUUUUUCAAGUAUCUCUUAAAGAACUUUGGGAUUUCAAGAUCUUCUCCUAGAUGUUUUGGAAGAAGAGUGCCUUUAAUCUAAGAAAUGAUCUUGAGACCCGAAGUUUUUUGAAGAGAAACCUAAAAACUUGAUAUCAACGAAUGUGCUCUUACACGCAACAUUCCUCCUUAUGAUGCAUCAGCAACAACUCCUUGGAAACCAUACCCUUUAGAAAAGAUCAUUGAAAAUGGAGAAUGGAACUUACUCAACGAUAUUUCCUGGCUUCUGCAACCGGAAAGGGGAGCAGCAUGAAACUCU
This 393-nucleotide microRNA precursor is filed under the name Arabidopsis lyrata. Its description in RNAcentral is "miR853 stem-loop (aly-MIR853)". Its record names the gene aly-MIR853. The record is from miRBase by way of RNAcentral. Lineage: Eukaryota; Viridiplantae; Streptophyta; Magnoliopsida; Brassicales; Brassicaceae.